This 479-nucleotide ribosomal RNA is filed under the name uncultured bacterium. Its description in RNAcentral is "bacterial SSU rRNA". It matches the Rfam family "Bacterial small subunit ribosomal RNA", at positions 28 to 523 of the family's 1533-position model. The record is from RNAcentral.
GACGAACGCUGGCGGCGUGCCUAACACAUGCAAGUCGAACGGAGAUAUGAUUUCGGUUAUAUCUUAGUGGCGAACGGGUGAGUAACGCGUGAGCAACCUGACCUUCAGAGGGGGAUAACACUUGGAAACAGGUGCUAAUACCGCAUAAGACCACGACCCGACAUCGGGAUGCGGUCAAAGGAGCAAUCCGCUGAGGGAGGGCUCGCGUCCCAUUAGAUAGAUGGCGGGGUAACGGCCCACCAUGUCGACGAUGGGUAGCCGAGCUGAGAGGCUGAUCGGCCACACUGGAACUGAGACACGGUCCAGACUCCUACGGGAGGCAGCAGUGGGGAAUAUUGGGCAAUGGGCGCAAGCCUGACCCAGCAACGCCGCGUGAGGGAAGAAGGCCUUCGGUUGUAAACCUCUGUCCUUGGUGACGAAACAAAUGACGGUAGCCAAGGAGGAAGCCCCGGCUAACUACGUGCCAGCAGCCGCGGUAA